GCAGAAACAGCAUUAAUGUAUUUGUCUCUGCAGUAUGGGUGUGAAACUUUUCUUCCUCUUUUUUACAGUUCACCCAACCACUGCCAGGCCUUCCGACAACAAUGCACCCUGUUUCUGGAAACCUGUCAUCUCUUCUGGUAACUGGUAAACCAACUGUGAUGACUUCACCGCUCCCUGAGGCAAUACACUGCCAUUGUCUUGUUACCUGGGAGAUGAAUUAUCCACUCUUUAAAGCUGCGUGGUGCAUGAAGUAAAAUAUAAUUAUGAGUAAUCACUGCAGUAUUAUCGAUUUCUCAACAUGUCUGUUGUUUCUCCAUAAAUGGCUGUCGUGCUUUUACGGCCCAGGUCCAAAGUCUGUGUUUACUGAGCCUACAGUUAUUGACCAGCUCCUCAUUCAUUCUGACAGGAAGAAUUGUUUUUAGAAACAUGGUAAAUACAGGCUCGUGUAGCUACAACAGGCGAGCUGAGCCAGCUGCAGUCAUCAUCCCACAAUGCUGUCAGCCUGUCCUGUCCUGUCCUGCCCAAGCAUAAGCAACCCCAUGGUCUCACAUGGGAAAAUAACAGGUCUCUAAUCAGCUGGGCUUUGCUGCAUGUAAACUCCAAUAUGUAUUUAAUAACAGUGUAAAGCCUGUCAUUCCUGAACAACUUCAAGGUUUAAAGGAACUUGAAAUUACCAGGGUAACCAUCUGUCAAUAGAUGAGGCUGGUGGAAGCGUUUUUCUCUUAGAACAACAGACAAAUCAGUGUCGUUCCAUCUUGAUACGAUAGAUAUGAGGCAGUUUGAUUGACUCUGAACUGAAGAAUUCAUCAAUACUUCAUGGUUUUUUGAUUCUAAUGAAAUACAGUGAACAGAUUUAAGUUUGCAUGAAUGAGUGUGAGAAUUACACCAUAAUCUGCAUGCUGUUUCAGAAGCAUUUCCACCCUGAAUGUUUGCAUAAUCGACUAAAUUUAAAUAUUAAAUGUUAAUACAAAAUGCUGACGACGAAAGCUGACGUUUUCCCUUUCAUUGUUCAAAACAUGUAUAUGAUUUUCCAUUAAUCUACCAUAGUACCAGUACUUUUAUCCAAACAUAAAUGACGUGAAGUGAGUUCUUUUUGUUCCUGGUGAACCACAAGAAGAUGUUGAAGUGUUGACACAUGCGCAAUAGAUUUCUUAAGAUUUGUAUUUUGUGGUGUGGUCUCAAUUUUAAAUUCUUCGCUCAUAUUGUUACAACUUACCCCAGGUUGUGUUACAACUUGUGGGGCAGGUUGUAACAAUGGAACUCCUUGUAUUUGACAUCAAAUAAUGAAUUCUGUGAUAUAGCUGGAGAAGUUGGAAAAAAUGCUAUUUGUGGUAGACAAAUAAGGGCACUUUGUGUCAAAAUUUGAGCGCUCUAACACAAAAAUUCUGCGAGUUAUAGGUCCUGAGACAAAAAGUGUAACAGCCGUCCACGGUCUCCCCUAUUUUAGAACAUUUCGUUGCCUUCAAAACGUGCGGGCAUAGCUAAGAACCGGGAGCCCCUCCCUCAUCGACAUCAGGCUUCUUUCUCUUCUUGGAGAAAUAUUUGAAAAUGAAAUCAGGAAUAUUUUACUACAUAGCUUAUAUAAACAUUGUUGGCAAUUACCGACGUUUAUUGAAGUUUACUUAAUGUUACCGGUAUUAUGAUUCACUGAGUUAGCUAGCUAACAUUAGCUGGAACAUUAUUUCACGAUAUAUUAUUAAUAUUAAUAAUAAUUAGUUAGCCGUGAACAUUAAUA
Long non-coding RNA from Siniperca chuatsi (mandarin fish), 1735 nucleotides. RefSeq lists it as uncharacterized. The record is from RefSeq and is a predicted model, not a curated record. NCBI's taxonomy places the organism in Eukaryota, Metazoa, Chordata, Actinopteri, Centrarchiformes, Sinipercidae. The transcript has 2 exons.